GACGAACGCUGGCGGCGUGCCUAAUACAUGCAAGUAGAACGCUGAAGGAGGAGCUUGCUUCUCUGGAUGAGUUGCGAACGGGUGAGUAACGCGUAGGUAACCUGCCUGGUAGCGGGGGAUAACUAUUGGAAACGAUAGCUAAUACCGCAUAAGAGUAGAUGUUGCAUGACAUUUGCUUAAAAGGUGCAAUUGCAUCACUACCAGAUGGACCUGCGUUGUAUUAGCUAGUUGGUGGGGUAACGGCUCACCAAGGCGACGAUACAUAGCCGACCUGAGAAGGGGAUCGGCCACACUGGGACUGAGACACGGCCCAGACUCCUACGGGAGGCAGCAGUAGGGAAUCUUCGGCAAUGGACGGAAGUCUGACCGAGCAACGCCGCGUGAGGGAAGAAGGUUUUCGGAUCGUAAAGAUCUGUUGUAAGAGAAGAACGAGUGUGAGAGUGGAAAGUUCACACUGUGACGGUAUCUUACCAGAAAGGGACGGCUAACUACGUG
This 495-nucleotide ribosomal RNA is filed under the name uncultured bacterium. RNAcentral's name for it is "partial 16S ribosomal RNA". It matches the Rfam family "Bacterial small subunit ribosomal RNA", at positions 28 to 507 of the family's 1533-position model. The record is from RNAcentral.